Molecule: ribosomal RNA, 465 nt
Filed under: uncultured bacterium
Lineage: Bacteria
Description: partial 16S ribosomal RNA
Rfam family: Bacterial small subunit ribosomal RNA
Source: RNAcentral
GACGAACGCUGGCGGCGUGCUUAACACAUGCAAGUCGAACGGAAAGGCCCCUUUGGGGGUACUCGAGUGGCGAACGGGUGAGUAACACGUGCGUAACCUGCCCUUGACUUCGGGAUAACUUCACGAAACUGGGGCUAAUUCCGGAUAGGAAUCCUUGAUGCAUGGUGGGGGUUGGAAAGCUUCGGCGGUUUUGGAUGGACUUGCGGCCUAUCAGCUUGUUGGUGGGGUAGUGGUUUACCGAGGCUUUGACGGGUAGCCGGCCUGAGAGGGCGACCGGCAACAGUGGGACUGAGAUUCGGCCAAGACUCCGACGGGAGGCAGCAGUGGGGAAUAUUGAACAAUGGGCGGGAGCCUGAUGCAGCAACGCCGCGGGCGGGAGGACGGUCUUCGGGUUGUAAACCGCUUUCAGCAGGGGCGAAGCUUGUGGUGACGGUACCUGCAGAAGAAGCACCGGCUAACUACGUG